GACCACGUAGCUCAGUUGACAGCUAGCAUUGGGCUAGUAUUCCAAACUGAGGUCGUAGGUUCGAUUCCCACCGUGGUCA
Paramuricea clavata is the source of this 79-nucleotide non-coding RNA. The record is from the annotation of a GenBank genome assembly. NCBI's taxonomy places the organism in Eukaryota, Metazoa, Cnidaria, Anthozoa, Malacalcyonacea, Plexauridae.